RNAcentral lists this ribosomal RNA (349 nucleotides) under uncultured bacterium. RNAcentral describes it as "bacterial SSU rRNA". It matches the Rfam family "Bacterial small subunit ribosomal RNA", at positions 917 to 1267 of the family's 1533-position model. The record is from RNAcentral.
GGGCCCGCACAAGCGGUGGAGUAUGUGGUUUAAUUCGAUGCAACGCGAAGAACCUUACCAGGGUUUGACAUCCUGCGAAUCUCUUGGAAACGAGAGAGUGCCUUCGGGAACGCAGUGACAGGUGGUGCAUGGCUGUCGUCAGCUCGUGUCGUGAGAUGUUGGGUUAAGUCCCGCAACGAGCGCAACCCACGUCUUUAGUUGCUAGCAGGUAAUGCUGAGGACUCUAAAGAAACUGCCUACGCAAGUAGUGAGGAAGGCGGGACGACGUCAAGUCAUCACGGCCCUUACGUCCUGGCCACACACGUGCUACAAUGGUAGAUACAGAGGGCAGCUACCCCGCGAGGGGAUG